GAGUCCUACGGGGCGCAGCAGUGGGGAAUUUUGGACAAUGGGCGCAAGCCUGAUCCAACUAUUCCGCGUGUGGGAAGACGGCCUUCGGGUUGUAAACCACUUUUGUAGAGAACGAAAAGCCUAUUGAUAAUACCGAUAGACGAUGACGGUACUCUAAGAAUAAGCACCGGCUAACUACGUGCCAGCAGCCGCGGUAAUACGUAGGGUGCGAGCGUUAAUCGGAAUUACUGGGCGUAAAGGGUGUGCAGGCGGUUUUGGAAGAUGGAUGUGAAAGCCCCGGGCU
Molecule: ribosomal RNA, 283 nt
Filed under: uncultured bacterium
Lineage: Bacteria
Description: partial 16S ribosomal RNA
Rfam family: Bacterial small subunit ribosomal RNA
Source: RNAcentral